RNAcentral lists this ribosomal RNA (290 nucleotides) under uncultured Glomeromycotina. RNAcentral describes it as "partial 18S ribosomal RNA". It matches the Rfam family "Eukaryotic small subunit ribosomal RNA", at positions 569 to 865 of the family's 1831-position model. Lineage: Eukaryota; Fungi; Glomeromycota. The record is from RNAcentral.
AGCAGCCGCGGUAAUUCCAGCUCCAAUAGCGUAUAUUAAAGUUGUUGCAGUUAAAAAGCUCGUAGUUGAAUUUCGGGAUCAGUAUGUUGGUCGUGCUUCGGUACGUACUGUCAUUACUGGUUUCUCCCUUCUGAAGAACCUUGAUGUCAUUAAUUUGGUGUCUUGGGGAAUCAGGACUGUUACUUUGAAAAAUUAGAGUGUUUAAAGCAGGCAUACGCUUGAAUACAUUAGCAUGGAAUAAUGAAAUAGGACGUUUGAUUCUAUUUUGUUGGUUUCUAGGAUCGACGUAA